This 253-nucleotide ribosomal RNA is filed under the name uncultured bacterium. Its description in RNAcentral is "partial 16S ribosomal RNA". It matches the Rfam family "Bacterial small subunit ribosomal RNA", at positions 524 to 776 of the family's 1533-position model. The record is from RNAcentral.
UACGUAGGGUGCAAGCGUUAUCCGGAAUUACUGGGCGUAAAGAGUGCGUAGGCGGGUUUUUAAGUCAAGUGUUAAAUCUACAGGCUCAACUUGUAGGCCGCACUUGAUACUGGAAGCCUUGAGAACAGAAGAGGCAGACGGAAUUUCCGGUGGAGCGGUUAAAUGCGUAGAUAUCGGAAGGAACACCAAUGGCGAAGGCAGUCUGCUGGGCUGUUUCUGACGCUGAGGCACGAAAGCGUGGGGAGCGAUCGGG